Molecule: ribosomal RNA, 361 nt
Filed under: uncultured bacterium
Lineage: Bacteria
Description: partial 16S ribosomal RNA
Rfam family: Bacterial small subunit ribosomal RNA
Source: RNAcentral
CCUACGGGUGGCAGCAGUGAGGAAUAUUGGUCAAUGGGCUUACGCCUGAACCAGCCAAGUCGCGUGAGGGAAGACUGCCCUAUGGGUUGUAAACCUCUUUUGUCAGGGAGCAAUUGGCGCUACGUGUAUCGUUAUCGAGUGUACCUGAAGAACAAGCAUCGGCUAACUCCGUGCCAGCAGCCGCGGUAAUACGGAGGAUGCGAGCGUGAUCCGGAUUUAUUGGGUUUAAAGGGUGCGUAGGCGGAAUGUCAGGUCAGCGGUAAAGUCGCGGGGCUAAAACUCGCUGCGCCGUUGAAACUGGCGUUCUUGAGUGGGCGAGAGGUAUGCGGAAGGCGAGGUGUAGCGGUGAAAUGCAUAGAUA